RNAcentral lists this ribosomal RNA (271 nucleotides) under uncultured prokaryote. RNAcentral describes it as "partial 16S ribosomal RNA". It matches the Rfam family "Bacterial small subunit ribosomal RNA", at positions 524 to 794 of the family's 1533-position model. The record is from RNAcentral.
UACGAAGGGUGCAAGCGUUACUCGGAAUUACUGGGCGUAAAGGGUGCGUAGGUGGUUCGUUAAGUCUGAUGUGAAAGCCCUGGGCUCAACCUGGGAAUUGCAUUGGAUACUGGCGGGCUAGAGUGCGGUAGAGGGUAGUGGAAUUCCCGGUGUAGCAGUGAAAUGCGUAGAUAUCGGGAGGAACAUCCGUGGCGAAGGCGACUGCCUGGACCAACACUGACACUGAGGUGCGAAAGCGUGGGGAGCAAACAGGAUUAGAUACCCCCGUAGU